Molecule: ribosomal RNA, 499 nt
Filed under: uncultured bacterium
Lineage: Bacteria
Description: partial 16S ribosomal RNA
Rfam family: Bacterial small subunit ribosomal RNA
Source: RNAcentral
GAUGAACGCUGGCGGCGUGCCUAAUACAUGCAAGUCGAGCGAACAGACGAGAGUGCUUGCACUCUCUGACGUUAGCGGCGGACGGGUGAGUAACACGUGGGUAACCUACCUAUAAGACUGGGAUAACUUCGGGACACCGGAGCUAAUACCGGAUAAUAUUUAGCUUCGCAUUACGCAAUAGUGAAAGACGUUUCUGCUGUCACUUAUAGAUGGACCCGCGGUGUAUUAGCUAGUUGGUGAGGUAACGGCUCACCAAGGCAACGAUACAUAGCCGACCUGAGAGGGUGAUCGGCCACACUGGGACUGAGACACGGCCCAGACUCCUACGGGAGGCAGCAGUAGGGAAUCUUCCGCAAUGGACGAAAGUCUGACGGAGCAAUGCCGCGUGAGUGAAGAAGGUUUUCGGAUCGUAAAACUCUGUUGUAAGGGAAGAACAAGUACGUUAGUAACUGAACGUACCUUGACGGUACCUUACCAGAAAGCCACGGCUAACUACGUG